CGAUCUCGUCUCCUCUCCGCCCUCUCUCUCUCUCUCUCUCUCUCUCUCUCUCUUAUUCAUCCUCUUCAAACCCUAAUUUCUUCCUUCGAUCCACCUCUCGUCGUUCAAUCUUCCACCCAUUGUUUCUCGUUGUGUUUGGGAAUCUAGGGUUUUUUUUUUCUGUGAAACCCUAAGAAUUAAUUGAAGAGGGAGGAAGGGAGGGAGAGAGAGAGGUUUGAUGGCGCAAAAUGGGCAGGGGAUGGACCCUGCCGUUCUUGAUGAUAUCAUUAAUCGGCUUUUGGAGUUUCGGCAGGCGAGGAGUGUACGCCACGUCCAGGUCCAGCUCUCCGAGGCUGAGAUCCGUCAGCUUUGCAUCGUUUCGAGAGAAAUCUUCCUCCAAUAACCCAAUCUCUUAGAGCUCGAAGCCCCCAUCAAGAUCUGCGUUAGUUGAGUUGAGUCAGUGUUUCCUCCAACACAACAUCGGCCUCUAUUACAGAACCAUGUUUCUUUCUAAAUUGGGAGCUUUGAGGAUCUUGGGUUGGUCUUCUCAUGGCACAUAUUGGUGGGCAUCAUUUCUCUGGAGGGUCUCUAUCAGGUUUUACUUGGCAUUGGGGAGCUCAUCGCUUCAAGGUCUUGCCCCAAGGUACUUUUGUUGAAUGGUAUUCAUGAUCGAGAAACUAGCGGCUUUUCUGCUGCUUGCUUUGGGUUGGGAGGGUUUCGAGCACAAUCUAACUCUAACACACAUAAAUAGGUAAUGAAGCUCAAGGAACAGCUUUCCGAGGCAAAGAAGGAGAUACAGUGGAGAGAUGCGAUGGUGUUUCAAGCAACAGCCUGGCUUCAUUGUUCUCCAUGGAAGCCAUGGAUCCACCUCUUUUUCUAGGGAAGUUUGGGAUGCAAGGGUUUGGAAAUAUUUUUUAUGUGCCAGAAAACAAUUACAAUCAUGGCAUGGAUUGGGUUAAUCUUAUAUGAUAUGUAAUUAAAGCAAUUCUAGUAUUAAUGUAGCUAGUGACCAUCUUAUGUA
Molecule: non-coding RNA, 1000 nt
Organism: Camellia sinensis
Lineage: Eukaryota; Viridiplantae; Streptophyta; Magnoliopsida; Ericales; Theaceae
Source: RefSeq, a predicted model, not a curated record